GAUGAACGCUAGCGGCAGGCUUAACACAUGCAAGUCGAGGGGUAUAGGGAGCUUGCUUCCUAGAGACCGGCGCACGGGUGCGUAACGCGUAUGCAAUCUACCUUUUGCAGAGGAUAGCCCAGAGAAAUUUGGAUUAAUACCUCAUAGUAUAGCAGUUUCGCAUGAAACCACUAUUAAAGUCACAACGGUGUAAGAUGAGCAUGCGUCCCAUUAGCUAGUUGGUAAGGUAACGGCUUACCAAGGCAACGAUGGGUAGGGUCCUGAGAGGGAGAUCCCCCACACUGGUACUGAGACACGGACCAGACUCCUACGGGACGGCAGCAGUGAGGAAUAUUGG
Molecule: ribosomal RNA, 337 nt
Filed under: uncultured bacterium
Lineage: Bacteria
Description: bacterial SSU rRNA
Rfam family: Bacterial small subunit ribosomal RNA
Source: RNAcentral